GUCCCCUUUGUGUCACUGCCUUGUGUUGCCCGUCCCCACGGCCCCGGCUGUCCCCUGGCAGCCUCCCCUUGACCCCGCUGUCUCCCUGCAGUGCCAGACGGAAACGCCCAAGACCCGCCGGCAAGCGGAGCUGAUGCAGAGCAGCAACCUGAUCGAGAUGGUGCCGCAGCCCAAGGGCAGGGUGUUCACCCGCUGCUUCUGCCUGGAGGAGCCGCUGGGCACCGAGCCGGGCAGAACCUCGGGAAGGACCAGCUUGAGGGAUGAUCCAAAGGACAAGUGCCCUCCCUGCUCUCCCCAGGCGGCAUCAGGAAAUGUGAGUGUGGCACCGGGCAUGGGCACCCCGAGCUGGCCGGGCUGGGCUGUGACCUGGGGGUGCCAAAAGCCACCGGGGCGCUGUCACCAACCCCCCACGACCCCACAGUUCCUCCUGGCCCUGCAACAUCUGGAAGGGCCUUGAUCUUUUCCAGAUGUGGCCCCAUUCCUACAGCAAC
RNAcentral lists this long non-coding RNA (491 nucleotides) under Camarhynchus parvulus. RNAcentral's name for it is "lncRNA (ENSCPVG00000018511.1)". Lineage: Eukaryota; Metazoa; Chordata; Aves; Passeriformes; Thraupidae. The record is from RNAcentral.